Molecule: long non-coding RNA, 1024 nt
Organism: Pomacea canaliculata
Lineage: Eukaryota; Metazoa; Mollusca; Gastropoda; Architaenioglossa; Ampullariidae
Exons: 3
Source: RefSeq, a predicted model, not a curated record
AAACUACAUACCUCGUUAUUUCUAAUUAAAAUGUUAAUGCGAGGAAUUAAUCACUUUGAUGACAUAUGACGACUGUCAGCCGCGGACCACUUGACUUAUGCCUGCGGACCACUAGUGGUCCGCUGACCACACUUUAAGAACCACUGCAAUAGAGAGACCAAGGAAGAGCCAAUAUUGGUACCAAGGCAGACCAAGGAGGCACCAAGCUUGGCCGAAUCUUGGUGUGUUUGCUGGGGUCUGUGUUUCGAGCGACGUUCUAUCAAAGACCUAUAGAUAAACGAACAUUGCCUUUUUUUUUUCUUUUUUUUUCUUUUUUCUUUUUUUUUUCUUUUUUUUUUUUUUUUUUUUUGUCACGGAUCAGUCCGUGCCUGCAUGUUUUAAAGCUAGUUUAAGCCCUUCGCUGUUUGUAAAUCACAAUGAUAAAUAACAUGUAUUGAUGAAUGUGUCAGCGAGGAAAGGGAGAUCACUCUAGGGACAUUUAGAAGAAGCAGACGGCAUUGGCGGACAUGAGAGUGGAAGAAUGUUGUGUGAGUGUGAAUGUGAGCGUAGAUCUUAGAAGUAAUUCCUUGCCUAGACAAGGUUUCUCUUUUCCUCCGUGUACGGGCAAUGGUGGUAGCGCCCUUGUGAUCGAGGAUUCGUGUAGAUCUAAUCUUGUCGCCAAGAAAAUGUAAAUGAGAUAAUAAAAUUGGAACUGUGUGUGGACGAACAGAACUACUGCCCAAAGGUGUGCUUAUGAGCUGGAGGUGUCAGAGUCACACAUCUGAAUCCAAAAGUACUUUUCCACAUCCAAUCUAGCUCUCAUUGCUGUCUCGACUGGCAGUGAAGUAAACUGCAUGCUGAAUGAUUGACAAAGAAAAUCCUCAAGACUCGUUUUGACAUGAUUUGGCCUAGCUAGGCUGGAAAGGUUGAAGAGGCUCAAGAAAAAUAAAAGAGAACCAUGAUCACACUGCCAACACUUCACUUUCUCUUUGUCCUUCUUGGCGUAUUCUUGUACUCGACUGAUAAUGAAAUGACAAUGGACAUA